GGGUGAGUAACACGUGGGCAAUCUGCCCUUCACUCUGGGACAAGCCCUGGAAACGGGGUCUAAUACCGGAUACCACUCCUGCCUGCAUGGGCGGGGGUUGAAAGCUCCGGCGGUGAAGGAUGAGCCCGCGGCCUAUCAGCUUGUUGGUGGGGUAAUGGCCCACCAAGGCGACGACGGGUAGCCGGCCUGAGAGGGCGACCGGCCACACUGGGACUGAGACACGGCCCAGACUCCUACGGGAGGCAGCAGUGGGGAAUAUUGCACAAUGGGCGAAAGCCUGAUGCAGCGACGCCGCGUGAGGGAUGACGGCCUUCGGGUUGUAAACCUCUUUCAGCAGGGAAGAAGCGAAAGUGACGGUACCUGCAGAAAAACCGCCGGCUAACUACGUGCCACCAGCCGCGGUAAUACGUAGGGCGCAAGCGUUGUCCGGAAUUAUUGCGCGGAAAGAGCUCGUAGGCGGCUUGUCACUUCGGAUGUGAAAGCCCGAGGCUUAACCUCGCGUCUGCAUUCCAUGUCGGG
Molecule: ribosomal RNA, 519 nt
Filed under: Streptomyces sp.
Lineage: Bacteria; Bacillati; Actinomycetota; Actinomycetes; Kitasatosporales; Streptomycetaceae
Description: bacterial SSU rRNA
Rfam family: Bacterial small subunit ribosomal RNA
Source: RNAcentral